UUCGUAGGGUGCGAGCGUUGUCCGGAAUUACUGGGCGUAAAGAGCUCGUAGGUGGUUUGUCGCGUUGUUCGUGAAAACUCACAGCUUAACUGUGGGCGUGCGGGCGAUACGGGCAGACUGGAGUACUGCAGGGGAGACUGGAAUUCCUGGUGUAGCGGUGGAAUGCGCAGAUAUCAGGAGGAACACCGGUGGCGAAGGCGGGUCUCUGGGCAGUAACUGACGCUGAGGAGCGAAAGCGUGGGGAGCGAACAGG
This 253-nucleotide ribosomal RNA is filed under the name uncultured bacterium. RNAcentral describes it as "partial 16S ribosomal RNA". It matches the Rfam family "Bacterial small subunit ribosomal RNA", at positions 524 to 776 of the family's 1533-position model. The record is from RNAcentral.